AUGCAGUCAAUCAAAGUACACCAGGUUUCAAAAUACUGGCUAUUGUUGACAUUACAAAAACUGCAUAGACUUUUCAAAAUAAAAACAAUCUCUCACUGCUCCUCUCACUGCUCCUGCUCCUCUCACUGCUCCUGCUCCCGCUCCUCUCACUGCUCCUGCUCCUCUCACUGCUCCUCUCACUGCUCCUGCUCCCGCUCCUCUCACUGCUCCUGCUCCUCUCACUGCUCCUCUCACUGCUCCUGCUCCCGCUCCUCUCACUGCUCCUGCUCCCCUCACUGCUCCUCUCACUGCUCCUGCUCCCGCUCCUCUCACUGCUCCUGCUCCUCUCACUGCUCUCACUGCUCCUGCUCCUCUCACUGCUCCUGCUCCCGCUCCUCUCACUGCUCCUGCUCCCCUCACUGCUCCUCUCACUGCUCCUGCUCCUGCUCCUCUCACUGCAUCUCUCACUGCUCCGGCUCCUCUCACUGCUCCUGCUCCUCUCACUGCAUCUCUCACUGCUCCUGCUCCUCUCACUGCUCCUCUCACUGCUCCUGCUCCUCUCACUGCUCCUGCUCCCCUCACUGCUCCUCUCACUGCUCCUGCUCCUCUCACUGCUCCUGCUCCCGCUCCUCUCACUGCUCCUGCUCCCUCACUGCUCCUCUCACUGCUCCUGCUCCUGCUCCUCUCACUGCUCCUCUCACUGCUCCUGCUCCUCUCACUGCUCCUGCUCCCCUCACUGCUCCUGCUCCCCUCACUGCUCCUCUCACUGCUCCUGCUCCUCUCACUGCUCCUGCUCCCCUCACUGCUCCUCUCACUGCUCCUGCUCCCGCUCCUCUCACUGCUCCUGCUCCCCUCACUGCUCCUGCUCCUCUCACUGCAUCUCUCACUGCUCAGGCUCCUCUCACUGCUCCUGCUCCUCUCACUGCAUCUCUCACUGCUCCUGCUCCUCUCACUGCAUCUCUCACUGCUCCCGCUCCUCUCACUGCAUCUCUGACUGCUCCCGCUCCUCUCACUGCAUCUCUCACUGCUCCUCUCACUGCUCCUCUCACUGCAUCUCUCACUGCUCCUCUCACUGUUCACUGCUCCCGCUCCUCUCACUGCUCCUCUCACUGCUCCCGCUCCUCUCACUGCAUCUCUCACUGCAUCUCUCACUGCUCCCGCUCCUCUCACUGCAUCUCUCACUGCAUCUCUCACUGCUCCGGCUCCUCUCACUGUCACUGCCUCUCACUGCAUCCCUGCUCGCCUCACUGCCUGCUCUCUCACUGCUCCCGCUCCUCUCACUGCUCCUGCUCCCCUCACUGCAUCUCUCACUGCUCCUCUCACUGCAUCUCUGACUGCUCCUGCUCCUCUCACUGCAUCUCUCACUGCUCCUCUCACUGCUCCUCUCACUGCUCCUCUCACUGCUCCUGCUCCUCUCACUGCUCCUCUCACUGA
Molecule: long non-coding RNA, 1413 nt
Filed under: Carassius auratus (goldfish)
Lineage: Eukaryota; Metazoa; Chordata; Actinopteri; Cypriniformes; Cyprinidae
Description: lncRNA (ENSCARG00000004591.1)
Source: RNAcentral